RNAcentral lists this ribosomal RNA (497 nucleotides) under uncultured bacterium. RNAcentral describes it as "partial 16S ribosomal RNA". It matches the Rfam family "Bacterial small subunit ribosomal RNA", at positions 28 to 507 of the family's 1533-position model. The record is from RNAcentral.
GAUGAACGCUGGCGGCGUGCCUAAUACAUGCAAGUCGAGCGAACAGACGAGGAGCUUGCUCCUCUGACGUUAGCGGCGGACGGGUGAGUAACACGUGGAUAACCUACCUAUAAGACUGGGAUAACUUCGGGAAACCGGAGCUACUACCGGAUAAUAUAUUGAACCGCAUGGUUCAAUAGUGAAAUACGGUUUUGAUGUCACUUAUAGAUGUAUCCGCGCCGCAUUAGCUAGUUGGUAAGGUAACGGCUUACCAAGGCAACGAUGCGUAGCCGACCUGAGAGGGUGAUCGGCCACACUGGAACUGAGACACGGUCCAGACUCCUACGGGAGGCAGCAGUAGGGAAUCUUCCGCAAUGGGCGAAAGCCUGACGGAGCAACGCCGCGUGAGUGAUGAAGGUCUUCGGAUCGUAAAACUCUGUUAUUAGGGAAGAACAAAUGUGUAAGUAACUAUGCACGUCUUGACGGUACCUAAUCAGAAAGCCACGGCUAACUACGUG